Egretta garzetta (little egret) is the source of this 1970-nucleotide long non-coding RNA. RefSeq lists it as uncharacterized. The transcript has 7 exons. The record is from RefSeq and is a predicted model, not a curated record. Lineage: Eukaryota; Metazoa; Chordata; Aves; Pelecaniformes; Ardeidae.
GCCCGUGCCCUCCAGCAUCCUCGCCAGCAAGGCUUGAAGGGCACGACAGAGCGGCCAGCACAAGAAUAAGCAGGGACAGGGACAUGGCUGGGAAGAUCUGCCUUCAGAUCGAUGAUAAACUUCAAUCGUAAGCCAAAAAGUACUUCACAACCCCCCUGAUGUCCCACAUGGUGGACUUCAGUGCAUAAAGGAUUUUGGCUCAACCCAGUGGGCUGCGUCAGAGUGUUUGCCACCAGGAGUGCGGUUGGAGCAUGCUGUGGCAUGAGCCCAGGAGAUGGUCUCUGCGAAACGUGGGCUGCACCAAACGCACCGGGGCAAAUGGUGUCAGCAUGUACAGUGAGCCUUCCUCACCCCUCCUCAGGGAAAUCGCACCAGUUUUGGUUUCAGUUCGUUGAACAGGAUCUUUGCUAAAAACAAACCUCCUGGAGAAAACAUCUCCAGGUCUGAAUCAAAUCCUCCAUUUGCUGCUAAAAAUACUGUCAAUGAAUGGAAGAAUUCAUGAAUUCUCCCAGGGAAAAGAAAAGAUGAUCCCAUUAACCUACAUUACAGCCAUCACCAUUAAGGAGAUACCAUUAUCCUGCAGUUCCCACACUGUCUUGUCGGAGAUGCUACAGUUAUCCCUAUAAUUGUGUAGUAAGUCCUGGCAAAUGUUGGCUUUUCAACAGGCAGUACUGCAGCCAAGUACUUUGUCCGUUUAUAAGGCCCGAUCCGUUUAGCCUUGCAUAAGCAUUUGGCUCUUCAGGCAAAAGCCACGCUCAAACCAUGCUUUGGAUGAGAGCUCCAGAAGAGGAUUGAGUCCCCCGCCAUCUCAAAUUAUAGGAUUUUACUGCCUUACAAGGUCACGAGCAGUCAUAAUCGAUCAAUACAGAGAAUGAUGCAAGUAUCAAGAAUUUUAACGACAUAAUAUCGUGUUGUAGAAGUUGUUGUUUCACUUUCUAAAGGAACAUGUAUGCUUUCAGUGGCUGUUCUUCCCACAUUUAUUGAUACUCAGCCACCAAAGUGAGAGUGCUAAUGAGUGACAAUAUUUGAGGCUGCCCUGAGCAGAUCCUGCGUGGAGGCUCAGUGACCUCUCCUCUCUCAGGAGGGUGGUCUCUUCAGGUCACUGUUCAGGUCAUUUCUACAGCAGAUGUUGCCUGCUAUAAAAGACGGGAGGGCUGGUCUGUGUGCAUGAGGUGGCCUGAUGUCAUCUUUCAGGAUGGUGCCCUCAUGGAAACUGAGUAAAACUCUCUGGAGGAGCUUUCCUAAGACUCGGGUUGCCUGAGGAGAGAUGACUGUGAUGGCUGCCAAACUGAUUUGAGGCGGGUUGAUGCAGAGGAGGUGACUGCUGGUGCCCAUGUCUGGUGUAGACUACUCUGCUCCUUGGUGAACAGCCCUAAAGCCAUAGAUUUCAUCUGAUCUUUGCAAAGGCUAACAUCUGUCUGCUGUCAUUUUAGUCCUUAAUGUAUGAGAGGCAAUGGCUCUAAGUGUUGCAAGAUCUGUCUACUGCCCUGGGAUAUAAUUAACUUCAAAAAAAAAAAAAAAAAAGAGGAUGCCUGUAUGAAGAAAACAACCCCACCUGACAACUUUGAUGGAAGAAAUGGAAGAGCCUUCUCCCUUUGACGGCUCCGGAGCCGCUGGUGCAUCAGGCAUUCUCACACUGCUGACCCGACCUCUUUAAUCCUGGCUUUCCUGAAGGAAAAGCUGAUCCAUCAGGCCUCCUGUAUCUAAAAUGGGAUGAAAGGAAGAGAUGGACCUAUUUCUACGCUGGUGUUUCUCAGAUUCAGAAGAGCAGCAUCUGCUGGGGACUUCAAAGCCAGCAAGACUUCACCUGUGUAAAUCUGGCAGAAUUUGGGGGUUUGUGGCCAGAGAAGGAAAACCAGUAAUGCUCUUCUCUUUCUGUUCAAACCCAGAAGAGUUUCUUCCAAGCGUUAAGACUGUGGGACAGCUGAUGUCAACCAGGUUCAGAGAAACAACAUUGGCUUUGCUGAGAA